GUUUGAUCAUGGCUCAGAUUGAACGCUGGCGGCAGGCUUAACACAUGCAAGUCGAGCGGUAACAGGAAUAGCUUGCUAUUUGCUGACGAGCGGCGGACGGGUGAGUAAUGCUUGGGAAUAUGCCUUAUGGUGGGGGACAACAGUUGGAAACGACUGCUAAUACCGCAUAAUGUCUACGGACCAAAGGGGGGGAUCUUCGGACCUCUCGCCAUUUGAUUAGCCCAAGUGAGAUUAGCUAGUUGGUAAGGUAAUGGCUUACCAAGGCGACGAUCUCUAGCUGGUUUGAGAGGAUGAUCAGCCACACUGGGACUGAGACACGGCCCAGACUCCUACGGGAGGCAGCAGUGGGGAAUAUUGCACAAUGGGGGGAACCCUGAUGCAGCCAUGCCGCGUGUGUGAAGAAGGCCUUCGGGUUGUAAAGCACUUUCAGUUGUGAGGAAAGGUGUGUAGUUAAUAGCUGCAUACUGUGACGUUAACAACAGAAGAAGCACCGGCUAACUUCGUGCCAGCAGCCGCGGUAAUACGAGGGGUGCAAGCGUUAAUCGGAAUUACUGGGCGUAAAGCGUUCGUAGGCGGUUGAAUAAGCAAGAUGUGAAAGCCCAGGGCUCAACCUUGGAACUGCAUUUUGAACUGUUCGACUAGAGUACUGUAGAGGGGGGUAGAAUUUCA
Molecule: ribosomal RNA, 669 nt
Filed under: uncultured Vibrionaceae bacterium
Lineage: Bacteria; Pseudomonadati; Pseudomonadota; Gammaproteobacteria; Vibrionales; Vibrionaceae
Description: bacterial SSU rRNA
Rfam family: Bacterial small subunit ribosomal RNA
Source: RNAcentral